Molecule: long non-coding RNA, 1500 nt
Organism: Sarcophilus harrisii (Tasmanian devil)
Lineage: Eukaryota; Metazoa; Chordata; Mammalia; Dasyuromorphia; Dasyuridae
Exons: 4
Source: RefSeq, a predicted model, not a curated record
UGUUUUGCAUCAUGUACUUCAGCCAGCUAAUUCAUCUGUGAGGGACCGCCUCCUCUAGCUGAUGUGGGUCCAGCUGUGGAAACAGCUCCAAUGUCAUCUGUGUCCACUUUCAUUCCAUUCUUCUGAUCUCACGGAUCUCAGAGACCACAUCCAAGUCCGUUAAAAAACAGAACAUACCAUGAAGAGACCUGAGAGCAUCCUUUAAGGACAUUUUUAGGAGAAGACUCGAGCACUUUAGGGAGAGUGAGAGGGAUCUGGAAAUCUGUUUGCUGCCCUAAUGCCAGACGAUGAGCAGGAUUGGAAGUUAUGAUUAGGCGGUACAGCUCGUCCAAGUCCCAGCCAGUGAACUGGUGUCUUGACCACAUUCAUAUUUGGGGGAAGAAUACAAGCAUAUGGAUUGGACCAAACAGUUGUGAAACUCUCCAUAUUCUUCGUUAGGAGAAACAUGCCAAGAAAGACUCAGCGGAAACACUGGCAGCCCAUCCAAAAAGAGUGCCUACCUCUUGAACAUGCCCAAGCCAUUCAUCCUUGGUUCAUGAUGCUCAUAAUCUCUCCCUCCCAUUGCCCCCUUCUCUCCUCCAAUCAAGUUGGCAAAAACAAAAGUGCUCAGAGUGAGAAAAUGAAAACCAUAUCAGCAACAAAAAAUGCAUUUCUUUCCUCCAAUCGUGAGCAAAGGGAACCGAUCCUGGGCUGGACCAAGCUCCUGCACCAAGCAAGAACUGCCCACGUCUGCUUUGCCCUGAUUGUGGACAAAAUAUGCUUUUAUGGAUGGGAAUCAUCGCUAUAAUGAUACAUGCAGGAAAGGCACAGCUAGGAAAAAAAUAAAUAAAAGGAAUAAUAAAGUAAUAUCAAAGACCAAAAUAUGAUCUCAAACAGAAGAAUCCUUAGAGGGAAUCAGCUGGAACAUAAGCAAAACCAGAAAGAUUUUGAGAAUUAAAUGAAAAAGAUGGUAAUUACACUUGAAGUCCUUGCCCAAAGAGGAAUUUAUGGCUGCUGGUAGUUAAGGACUGCUAUACAUGGGAGAUAAGGUAUGACUGAAGUGUACAAGGACACUUGAAUUUUUUGUUUCCUUAUUAUAUUCAUCCUGUCUUUGUCCAUUUGGAAACCUCUCCUUCUUAUCAAAUGAGACCCCCCUGGAGAUGCAAGUGAGGCUGACAUACCUGAUAUGUGGACACAGGGGAAGCAGCAAUGAAUGGCGUGAUAGAUGUCUGGGGAAUCAUGCGGUUUGUUGCAAUACUGUACGGUGAAGAAUAAAAUCUGCAAACAGAAAGAACAAAGAUCCAUGAAGCACCUGCACUGCUCUUCCCCAUCACCUACCCUGCCCUCCUAUUGGGAAGCCUCGGGCAACAGGGGUGGGAGUGAGGAGAGGGGUUGAGCCACUUGCUGCAAGAAGAGACUCUUUGGGUCCUUUUGAAACCUUGAUCUUUAAAAAUCUCACCACAAUUGAAGAAUAAAAUAGUCUUUAACCAUUUUUUAAAGCCAAGUGAUUCUGGGAAUUGA